RNAcentral lists this ribosomal RNA (465 nucleotides) under uncultured bacterium. RNAcentral describes it as "bacterial SSU rRNA". It matches the Rfam family "Bacterial small subunit ribosomal RNA", at positions 29 to 506 of the family's 1533-position model. The record is from RNAcentral.
ACGAACGCUGGCGGCGUGGCUAAGGCAUGCAAGUCGAGCGAACCUAUUUUGAGGGUAACUGAUGAAUGGGUUAGCGGCGGACGGGUGAGGAAUACAUGGGUAACGUGCCCCGGACUCAGGGAUAGCGUUUAGAAAUGAACGGUAAUACCUGAUGACCCCGUAGGAUCGCAUGAUCCAGCGGGCAAAGUUCCGGCGGUCUGGGAGCGGCUCAUGUCCUAUCAGCUAGUUGGCGGGGUAACGGCCCACCAAGGCUGCAACGGGUACCGGGCGUGAGAGCGCGACCCGGCACAUCGGAACUGAGACACGGUCCGGACACCUACGGGUGGCUGCAGCAACGAAUAUUCCGCAAUGGACGAAAGUCUGACGGAGCGACGCCGCGUGGAGGAUGAAGUCCCUCGGGAUGUAAACUCCUGUCAGGGGUUAGGAAAUUUGACCAGCCCCAGAGGAAGCCACGGCUAACUCCGU